GAUGAAGAACGUAGCGAAAUGCGAUAAGUAAUGUGAAUUGCAGAAUUCAGUGAAUCAUCGAAUCUUUGAACGCACAUUGCGCCCCUCGGUAUUCCGACGGGCAUGCCUGUCCGAGCGUCGUUUGCAACCCAUCGAGUAACACUUCUCGGUCUUGGGCGCCGUCCGCCCCCUCGGGGGAUCGGACGGGCCCCAAAGCCCUCGGCGGCCCCGCGUGCCCCGCCGGAGCGUCUUCGAAAGCAAUCGCUCCGGCGCGUCGCGCCCCGGGACCAAGCCGGCACCGCGGCCCCCCCAAAGGGGUCGCACCCCCAACACCAAACGUCUGACCUCGGAUCAGGUAGGGCUACCCGCUGAACUUAAGCAUAUCAAUAAGCGGAGGA
Molecule: unclassified non-coding RNA, 377 nt
Filed under: soil metagenome
Description: partial contains 5.8S ribosomal RNA, internal transcribed spacer 2, and large subunit ribosomal RNA
Rfam family: 5.8S ribosomal RNA (bases 1-120)
Source: RNAcentral